Molecule: transfer RNA, 77 nt
Filed under: Gemmatimonadota bacterium
Lineage: Bacteria; Pseudomonadati; Gemmatimonadota
Description: Gemmatimonadetes bacterium tRNA-Arg
Rfam family: tRNA
About the family: Transfer RNA (tRNA) molecules are approximately 80 nucleotides in length. Their secondary structure includes four short double-helical elements and three loops (D, anti-codon, and T loops). Further hydrogen bonds mediate the characteristic L-shaped molecular structure. tRNAs have two regions of fundamental functional importance: the anti-codon, which is responsible for specific mRNA codon recognition, and the 3' end, to which the tRNAs corresponding amino acid is attached (by aminoacyl-tRNA synthetases). tRNAs cope with the degeneracy of the genetic code in two manners: having more than one tRNA (with a specific anti-codon) for a particular amino acid; and 'wobble' base-pairing, i.e. permitting non-standard base-pairing at the 3rd anti-codon position.
Source: RNAcentral
GCUCCCGUAGCUCAGUUGGAUAGAGCGACUGCCUCCGGAGCAGUAGGUUGCAGGUUCGAAUCCUGUCGGGAGUACCA